This 429-nucleotide ribosomal RNA is filed under the name bacterium. RNAcentral's name for it is "partial 16S ribosomal RNA". It matches the Rfam family "Bacterial small subunit ribosomal RNA", at positions 355 to 776 of the family's 1533-position model. The record is from RNAcentral.
UCGGGAAUUUUGCACAAUGGCCGAAAGGCUGAUGCAGCAACGCCGCGUGAGCGAAGAAGGCCUUCGGGUUGUAAAGCUCUGUUGCCUGCGAAGAAGGGCCCUGUCAGGAAAUGGGCGGGGUUUGACGGUAGCAGGCGAGGAAGCCCCGGCAAACUACGUGCCAGCAGCCGCGGUAAUACGUAGGGGGCGAGCGUUGUCCGGAAUUACUGGGCGUAAAGGGCGUGUAGGCGGCCUGUUAAGUCAGGGGUGAAAGACCGGGGCUCAACCCCGGGGGUGCCUCUGAAACUGGCGGGCUGGAGUGCUCUAGAGGGCAGUGGAAUUCCCGGUGUAGCAGUGAAAUGCGUAGAGAUCGGGAGGAACACCAGUGGCGAAGGCGGCUGCCUGGGGAGUCACUGACGCUGAGGCGCGAAAGCUAGGGGAGCAAACAGG